RNAcentral lists this transfer RNA (64 nucleotides) under Carbula sinica. Its description in RNAcentral is "tRNA-Asp". It matches the Rfam family "tRNA". From Rfam's summary of the family: Transfer RNA (tRNA) molecules are approximately 80 nucleotides in length. Their secondary structure includes four short double-helical elements and three loops (D, anti-codon, and T loops). Further hydrogen bonds mediate the characteristic L-shaped molecular structure. tRNAs have two regions of fundamental functional importance: the anti-codon, which is responsible for specific mRNA codon recognition, and the 3' end, to which the tRNAs corresponding amino acid is attached (by aminoacyl-tRNA synthetases). tRNAs cope with the degeneracy of the genetic code in two manners: having more than one tRNA (with a specific anti-codon) for a particular amino acid; and 'wobble' base-pairing, i.e. permitting non-standard base-pairing at the 3rd anti-codon position. The record is from RNAcentral. Lineage: Eukaryota; Metazoa; Arthropoda; Insecta; Hemiptera; Pentatomidae.
AAAGAUUUAGUUUAUUAAAACAUUAACUUGUCAAGUUAAAAAUAUAAUAGUGUUAUAAUCUUUG